CAGCUCGUUCCCUGACCGUGGCAAUAAAGAGGCCCGAGACUGGGCUUCGUCGUCUCCUCCCAAAUGGUAGCGUGUGAAGAAGCGUUGGCAGGGGUACGGUUAAUUGCGGGCGCACGGACUGACUCCGUGGCCUGGCGACUCACCGACCUCGUUGGCUGCGCAAGGCACGCGGGAGUGCAGUGACGGUUUGCGGCGAGUAGAUCGGUCACCCACCUGACCCGUCUUGAAACACGGACCAAGGAGUGC
RNAcentral lists this ribosomal RNA (246 nucleotides) under Novafroneta vulgaris. Its description in RNAcentral is "partial 28S ribosomal RNA". The record is from RNAcentral. Lineage: Eukaryota; Metazoa; Arthropoda; Arachnida; Araneae; Linyphiidae.